Molecule: ribosomal RNA, 250 nt
Filed under: uncultured prokaryote
Description: partial 16S ribosomal RNA
Rfam family: Bacterial small subunit ribosomal RNA
Source: RNAcentral
UACGGAGGAUGCGAGCGUUAUCCGGAUUUACUGGGCGUAAAGGGCACGUAGGCUGCGAGGCGUGUCGAGUGUGAAAUCUCCGGGCCCAACCCGGAAAGUGCGCUCGAAACUACCCCGCUGGAGUACGGGAGAGGGAAGGGGAAUAUAGGGUGUAGCGGUGAAAUGCGUUGAUAUCCUAUAGAACACCGGAGGCGAAGGCGCCUUCCUGGAACGUUACUGACGCUAAGGUGCGAAAGUCGGGGGAGCAAAC